AGACAACAAAAUGUUUAAUAUUAUUAUUUUGUCACCUUAGGUCGAUCGGUAUCUCACGUUUUUAAUUUAUUAAGAAUUUCAUUUCCUAAGUUUUUCUAGGUCACACCCAUUAUUUUUCCUGGGCCAUUAGCUCAGGUGGUUAGAGCGCACCCCUGAUAAGGGUGAGGUCCCUGGUUCAAGUCCAGGAUGGCCCAUAUCUCUAUGUUGGGGGUAUAGCUCAGUUGGUAGAGCGCCUGCUUUGCAAGCAGGAUGUCAGCGGUUCGAGUCCGCUUACCUCCACUGAUUACCACCUCUUCCAUAACUGGUAGAAAGGAAAUGUUUUGAGUUGUGAUCAAAUUCUGAAAGAAUCUAGCUUCCUAAUGAAAUCAUUAAGAUGCUGGACUCAUUGAAUUAAUUUCAUUGUUUUCAGAGAACCUUGACAACUGCAUAGAUUAUUUUUAAAGACAAUAAGCAUCUUUAUGAUGCAGAUUUAUUAUUUGUGCGAAUGCAUUAAUAACAAUUCUAUUAAGCUGAUGCUUCAAUUUUUGAAGUUAUU
RNAcentral lists this transfer RNA (535 nucleotides) under uncultured cyanobacterium. RNAcentral describes it as "partial 16S-23S intergenic spacer". The stretch from base 207 to 279 matches the Rfam family "tRNA". Lineage: Bacteria; Bacillati; Cyanobacteriota. The record is from RNAcentral.